Molecule: ribosomal RNA, 406 nt
Filed under: uncultured bacterium
Lineage: Bacteria
Description: partial 16S ribosomal RNA
Rfam family: Bacterial small subunit ribosomal RNA
Source: RNAcentral
AUUGAACGCUGGCGGCAGGCUUAACACAUGCAAGUCGAGCGAGCGGCGGACGGGUGAGUAAUGUCUGGGAAACUGCCUGAUGGAGGGGGAUAACUACUGGAAACGGUAGCUAAUACCGCAUACCAUCAGAUGUGCCCAGAUGGGAUUAGCUGGUAGGUGGGGUAAUGGCUCACAUAGGCGACGAUCCCUAGCUGGUCUGCGAGGAAGACCGGCCACACGGGAAGUGAGACACGGUCCAGACGCCUACGGGAGGCAGCAGUGGUGAAGAUUGCACAAUGGGGGAAAGCCUGAUGCAGCAAUGCCGCGUGUGUGAAGAAGGCCUUCGGGUUGUAAAGAACUUUCAGCGAGGAGGCGUUACUCGCAGAAGAAGCACCGGCUAACUCCGUGCCAGCAGCCGCGGUAAUUC